UACGUAGGGUGCAAGCGUUAAUCGGAAUUACUGGGCGUAAAGCGUGCGCAGGCGGUUUUGUAAGUCAGAUGUGAAAUCCCCGGGCUUAACCUGGGAACUGCGUUUGAAACUACAAGGCUAGAGUGUGGCAGAGGGGGGUGGAAUUCCACGUGUAGCAGUGAAAUGCGUAGAGAUGUGGAGGAACACCGAUGGCGAAGGCAGCCCCCUGGGUUAACACUGACGCUCAGGCACGAAAGUGUGGGGAGCAAACAGG
RNAcentral lists this ribosomal RNA (253 nucleotides) under uncultured bacterium. RNAcentral describes it as "partial 16S ribosomal RNA". It matches the Rfam family "Bacterial small subunit ribosomal RNA", at positions 524 to 776 of the family's 1533-position model. The record is from RNAcentral.